This is a long non-coding RNA of Teleopsis dalmanni, 740 nucleotides long. RefSeq lists it as uncharacterized. The record is from RefSeq and is a predicted model, not a curated record. The transcript is spliced from 3 exons. NCBI's taxonomy places the organism in Eukaryota, Metazoa, Arthropoda, Insecta, Diptera, Diopsidae.
UUUUCUUAUAUGAAGAUAUAUUAAAGUAUUAAGUAACCAGUAAAUCCAAGAAAAAACAAAUUAAGUGAUUUUAAGAAAACGUUUAUAGCCAGAAGCAAUAUAUAAACUGAACAAAUGAAACUAUAAACUAUAAUAACAACAAUAAUUUUGAAAUAUAAUUAUCGUGUGAUCAGCAAAAUAAUGACAACUAUAUCUGUAAAAAUCCUCUUUCAUGAUCUGUAUUAUAAGUUCCAUGUAUUCCUAUUACACAACUCCAAAUAUUAAUGGAUUCAACUACUACAUCAUAUUCAAAUGCCCUAAUUAUGUAUUUUUUACAAGACAACAAAAUAAAGUAAUGCCUUCCAAAAGGAAAAGUAAGUAAUAGUUGAGAUAAAUGUGUAUCUCCCAUUAGGAAUUAAAGGAUUUUUAUAACCAGCGUAAUAUUUAUUGCUUUUAAAACUUACAUUAAGUAAAAAUUGGGAAACAUCAUAUAUUGGAAAACAUCGAAAAUUAUAAAUAAUUAAUAUAUCCUCUCUCUCAUUGUAUAUUGGAAAACAUCGACUACAUCGACUAUGGAAAACAUCGACUACAUCGACUAUGGAAAACAUCGACUACCUCUGCGUCUACUGAAAUGCCUUGAUAACUAAAAAUAUGAAAUAUAGCGUCUUUCUCUAUGUAUAUUGGAAAAUAUCGAAAACUAUAACUAUGAAUUAUAUCCCCAUUCAUUAUAUAUAUUGGAAGUUCCAUUUAUAACGUCUAUA